This 831-nucleotide ribosomal RNA is filed under the name uncultured bacterium. RNAcentral describes it as "bacterial SSU rRNA". It matches the Rfam family "Bacterial small subunit ribosomal RNA", at positions 8 to 887 of the family's 1533-position model. The record is from RNAcentral.
AGAGUUUGAUCCUGGCUCAGAACGUACGCUGGCGGCACGCCUAACACAUGCAAGUCGAACGAAGUAGCAAUACUUAGUGGCAGACGGGUGAGUAACAUGUGGGUAUCUACCCUUUGGCCUGGAAUAACACGAGGAAACUUGUGCUAAUACCGGAUAAGUCUUUACGGAGAAAGCUUUAUGCACCAUUGGAUGAGCCCGCACUUGAUUAGUUUGUUGGUAGGGUAAUGGCCUACCAAGACUAUGAUCAAUAGCUGAUUUGAGAGGAUGAUCAGCCACAUUGGGACUGAGACACGGCCCAAACUCCUACGGGAGGCAGCAGUGGGGAAUCUUGCACAAUGGAGGAAACUCUGAUGCAGCGAUGCCGCGUGAGUGAAGAAGGCCUUUGGGUUGUAAAGCUCUUUCGUCGGGGAAGAAAAUGACUGUACCCGAAUAAGAAGGUCCGGCUAACUUCGUGCCAGCAGCCGCGGUAAUACGAAGGGACCUAGCGUAGUUCGGAAUUACUGGGCUUAAAGAGUUCGUAGGUGGUUGAAAAAGUUGGUGGUGAAAUCCCAGAGCUUAACUCUGGAACUGCCAUCAAAACUUUUCAGCUAGAGUAUGAUAGAGGAAAGCAGAAUUUCUAGUGUAGAGGUGAAAUUCGUAGAUAUUAGAAAGAAUACCAAUUGCGAAGGCAGCUUUCUGGAUCAUUACUGACACUGAGGAACGAAAGCAUGGGUAGCGAAGAGGAUUAGAUACCCUCGUAGUCCAUGCCGUAAACGAUGUGUGUUAGACGUUGGAAAUUUAUUUUCAGUGUCGCAGGGAAACCGAUAAACACACCGCCUGGGGAGUACGACC